This 1071-nucleotide long non-coding RNA is filed under the name Chrysemys picta bellii (western painted turtle). RNAcentral's name for it is "lncRNA (ENSCPBG00000022616.1)". Lineage: Eukaryota; Metazoa; Chordata; Testudines; Emydidae. The record is from RNAcentral.
UUCAACAGAGUAGUUAAACUUAAUUUUAAGCAUUCUUAUUCAGAAAAGUAGAAAAGUACGUAAGCAUGUGCAUAACUUUAAGCACAAUGAGAAUCAAUGGGACUUAAGCUCAUACUUAAAUUUAAGCAUGUGCUUUAACCAAUGUUAAUGGAAAGAAAAUAAGCCUAAUCAAAGUCUGUAUGAAAAGGAAAUAAAUAUUAUCAUUAGGGAUCAGUGAAUUAGUUAUAUAGGAACCAGCCAAAAUUGUGACUCAAAAUGUGCACUGAGCCCAAACCAAGCCUUUUAAGAGAAAUUAUGAUUAAUAUUUUUCAUAUGCUGUUCCAUCUCCUCUUUUUGGCCAUAAGCAUAUGAUAGGCUGAAAUAUUUUUAGUAUUUUUGACCCAGUUGGAAUUGGGAAUUACCAGAAAACCUAUGAGAGACUUUUAUUAGUUCUCCAAAUAAAGGGCCAAACUCCGAUUACUUUUCUCUUACAUAUAGACCCACAGAAGUAUUGGCGCCUUCCAGCAUAGAUGACGUAGGAGAGUCAGUUUGUUUCAGCACAUCUUCUUGUACAAAUGUAAACCAAUGAGGGAUCCGCAGGUGCAUCCUGCAAAUCAGGCAGACAUGGCCACAUGUUCGUGCCAUAGCCUGCUUUCUUUGUUCACAUUUCUCUUUAGCUUUUUCUGUUCUGCUAUUUUACAUAGCUUUAACCACAGGCCAACAGGUCUGCAGCCAACCUGACCUGUUAGCAGCAGCAGCAGCUUCCCAUGUGCUUGGAUUGAUGUGGCCAGCUUUUAGAUGGAACCAAGGCUUUGGAGCGGAGACCAGAGCUGGAGCACAGAGCAGCUCCGAAGCAGUGGAGCUGCAGAUUUUUGCCUGGAGCUGGAGCGGAGCCGAAGCACAGCUCCAAAGCCCUGGAUGGAACAAUCCAUCCCAGUAAUUCACAGUGAUAGUGUCUGGUAAAUUAAAAUUAUAUAUAUAGGAUGUAUAGAUUAGACUGUGGUCCGCAGACCACCAGUGGUCUGUGAGCUUCAUUCAGGUGGUCCGUGGACAGUUCCCUCUAAGGUGCGCACCUGGGCAGCCGCACAUGAG